GGGCUUCGGCUGUGGUGCAUCUCACCGGAGGGCUACAAGUCAGGGGAGGCUGCUGUGAAGCUCAGAGGGCUCGACCGUCCUUUAUAUAGCCUACUCGAGGCGCCUCACCGACGCUUGCAGAUAAGCUCGCCGGCGACAGCUUCUGUCAACUACUGUUCACCAACUGGGCGAAGCAGGGCGACGACAGGGGAUAAGCAGGGCAGCAAGCACAAGACGCAGGGGAGAGGGUCCAGGGAGUGGUGGCGCUCGGGAGGUGCUCGGGCGGCGCCGACUACUGCAGGGGUCGGAAGAUGCCAUGACCGUCGCGCUGCCGUAGUACUGCUCGCGCAUAGGGGCGGCUACUAACAGUCGAGGGGAAGAGUUGAUGCAGCUCUACGUGCAGAGCAGAGGGCGAGGGCGCAUGGACGCAGCGGCUCGGCACGCGCGCAUGCAAAACAUGCGCUCUGGGUGAGCCUAGAGCAUGCACGCAAGGUGCUCGACACAAUGCCAAUGUACCCAAAAUAGUAUCAAUGCUUGUGAAACUACACAGGACUACGGUAGGG
This 542-nucleotide long non-coding RNA is filed under the name Hordeum vulgare. Its description in RNAcentral is "long non-coding RNA (HVUL_LNC010214)". The record is from RNAcentral. Lineage: Eukaryota; Viridiplantae; Streptophyta; Magnoliopsida; Poales; Poaceae.